Molecule: ribosomal RNA, 429 nt
Filed under: uncultured bacterium
Lineage: Bacteria
Description: bacterial SSU rRNA
Rfam family: Bacterial small subunit ribosomal RNA
Source: RNAcentral
ACGAACGCUGGCGGCAGGCUUAACACAUGCAAGUCGAACGCACCGCAAGGUGAGUGGCAGACGGGUGAGUAACGCGUGGGAAUCUACCCAGUCCUUCGGAACAACACAGGGAAACUUGUGCUAAUACCGGAUACGCCCUACGGGGGAAAGAUUUAUCGGGAUUGGAUGAGCCCGCGUUGGAUUAGCUAGUUGGUGGGGUAAUGGCCUACCAAGGCGACGAUCCAUAGCUGGUCUGAGAGGAUGAUCAGCCACACUGGGACUGAGACACGGCCCAGACUCCUACGGGAGGCAGCAGUGGGGAAUAUUGGACAAUGGGCGAAAGCCUGAUCCAGCCAUGCCGCGUGAGUGAUGAAGGCCUUAGGGUUGUAAAGCUCUUUCAGUGGGGAAGAUAAUGACGGUACCCACAGAAGAAGCCCCGGCUAACUUCGU